CAUCAAAAACCAAGUCUCUAAGCAAUGGAUGUCUUGGCUCCUCACACGAUGAAGAACGUGGCAUAAUGUGUUAAGUAACCGGAGUUGCAAACAUCAUGACAGGUUAAUCUUUGAAUGCAAAUUGCGCUAAACUCGAUCUCGGUCGAGAAGCAUGGGUGUGACAGUACUACAUCUUUUAUAAUAAUUCUUAUUCUAAGCGAAUAAGUAAAUAAUAUAUAAGACAAACAACACGUAGUCUGCCAUACGCAGGAAGACCCGCUGAACUGAAGCAUCUCAUUAAGCGGAGGAAAAGAAACUAACUAGGAUUCCCUUAGUAAAGGCGAUCGAAAAGGGAACAGCCCAACGUCUUAAUCCCGCAAGGGAAAUGUAGUCGGUUCACCUAUUGCACUGGUCUAAGUCAGAUGGAAUGCUGCGCGAUUCAGAGUAAAAGCCUCGUAUGACCAACCGCAAGCUUACGAUGGACCGGGGAGAGUCGGAUACUUUGAGAGUAGUGUCUUAAGGGGGGUGGUAUGUCCCAUCCAAGGCUAAAUAACGUGAGGAGACCGAU
This 547-nucleotide non-coding RNA is filed under the name Trichomonas vaginalis G3. Its description in RNAcentral is "Archaeal large subunit ribosomal RNA". It matches the Rfam family "Archaeal large subunit ribosomal RNA", at positions 1 to 480 of the family's 2987-position model. The record is from Rfam by way of RNAcentral. Lineage: Eukaryota; Parabasalia; Trichomonadida; Trichomonadidae.